GCUUAAUUUCCCUGCAUCCUGUUUCAAGAAAAAUAAGAAAUUCCAUAUUCCUCCUGUGCUAUUACCUGCACUAGUCUCUUGAAACCAACUUGCCUGUGGAAAGAAUCCUAUCAGAAUCACUUCAGUGGCAUCUAACAGCUUAAUUUCCCUGCAUCCUGUUUCAAGAAAAAUAAGAAAUUCCAUAUUCCUCCUGUGCUAUUACCUGCACUAGUCUCUUGAAACCAACUUGCCUGUGGAAAGAAUCCUAUCAGAAUCACUUCAGUGGCAUCUAACAGCUUAAUUUCCCUGCAUCCUGUUUCAAGAAAAAUAAGAAAUUCCAUAUUCCUCCUGUGCUAUUACCUGCACUAGUCUCUUGAAACCAACUUGCCUGUGGAAAGAAUCCUAUCAGAAUCACUUCAGUGGCAUCUAACAGCUUAAUUUCCCUGCAUCCUGUUUCAAGAAAAAUAAGAAAUUCCAUAUUCCUCCUGUGCUAUUACCUGCACUAGUCUCUUGAAACCAACUUGCCUGUGGAAAGAAUCCUAUCAGAAUCACUUCAGUGGCAUCUAACAGCUUAAUUUCCCUGCAUCCUGUUUCAAGAAAAAUAAGAAAUUCCAUAUUCCUCCUGUGCUAUUACCUGCACUAGUCUCUUGAAACCAACUUGCCUGUGGAAAGAAUCCUAUCAGAAUCACUUCAGUGGCAUCUAACAGCUUAAUUUCCCUGCAUCCUGUUUCAAGAAAAAUAAGAAAUUCCAUAUUCCUCCUGUGCUAUUACCUGCACUAGUCUCUUGAAACCAACUUGCCUGUGGAAAGAAUCCUAUCAGAAUCACUUCAGUGGCAUCUAACAGCUUAAUUUCCCUGCAUCCUGUUUCAAGAAAAAUAAGAAAGU
Molecule: long non-coding RNA, 864 nt
Organism: Protopterus annectens (West African lungfish)
Lineage: Eukaryota; Metazoa; Chordata; Ceratodontiformes; Protopteridae
Exons: 7
Source: RefSeq, a predicted model, not a curated record